AGGGAUGUCGCUCAGUGGCACAGUGCCUGCCUGGCAAGCAGGAGGUCCCGAGUUCCAUCCCUG
Molecule: transfer RNA, 63 nt
Filed under: Cavia porcellus (domestic guinea pig)
Lineage: Eukaryota; Metazoa; Chordata; Mammalia; Rodentia; Caviidae
Rfam family: tRNA
About the family: Transfer RNA (tRNA) molecules are approximately 80 nucleotides in length. Their secondary structure includes four short double-helical elements and three loops (D, anti-codon, and T loops).
Source: Rfam by way of RNAcentral